UACGUAGGGAGCAAGCGUUGUCCGGAUUUACUGGGCGUAAAGAGCGUGUAGGCGGCCAAACAGGUCCGUUGUGAAAACUGGAGGCUUAACCUCCAGACGUCGACGGAAACCGUGUGGCUAGAGUCCGGAAGAGGAGAGUGGAAUUCCUGGUGUAGCGGUGAAAUGCGCAGAUAUCAGGAAGAACACCAAUGGCGAAGGCAGCUCUCUGGGACGGUACUGACGCUGAGACGCGAAAGCGUGGGGAGCGAACAGG
RNAcentral lists this ribosomal RNA (253 nucleotides) under uncultured bacterium. RNAcentral describes it as "partial 16S ribosomal RNA". It matches the Rfam family "Bacterial small subunit ribosomal RNA", at positions 524 to 776 of the family's 1533-position model. The record is from RNAcentral.